This 234-nucleotide ribosomal RNA is filed under the name uncultured bacterium. RNAcentral's name for it is "partial 16S ribosomal RNA". It matches the Rfam family "Bacterial small subunit ribosomal RNA", at positions 255 to 504 of the family's 1533-position model. The record is from RNAcentral.
GGGUAACGGCCCACCAAGGCGACGAUCAGUAGCCGGACUGAGAGGUUGAACGGCCACAUUGGGACUGAGACACGGCCCAGACUCCUACGGGAGGCAGCAGUGGGGAAUAUUGCGCAAUGGGGGCAACCCUGACGCAGCAACGCCGCGUGAUUGAUGAAGGUCUUCGGAUUGUAAAAAUCUUUAAUCAGGGACGAAGGACGUGACGGUACCUGGAGAAAAGCCACGGCUAACUAC